UGAGACCUCUUGAUGGCCGCGGCCGUGAUCUUCAUUGGGAUCGGCUGAGGAACUUCCGGGCUCCAUAGAGCACGAUGGCGGAUAACGUCCGCCCAGCCACCGGGCCUCUGGUAACAGCAGGCCGCAUGGCAAGCCUCAUCGGGAGCAAGGCCAAGCAGAUGGCGGUAAGGGCUGCUCGCCCAUGUCAUCGGGUAGGCUGCUAGAGCCUGACGGCAACGUCAGGUCGAGAUGGAUGGCCAUCCGUGCCGCGCGUUCGCGUACGGCAUGACAGAACCCGGGGUAUAAGAGGUCUCAUUUA
RNAcentral lists this RNase P RNA (298 nucleotides) under Bifidobacterium breve. RNAcentral's name for it is "RNase P RNA component class A". It matches the Rfam family "Bacterial RNase P class A". From Rfam's summary of the family: Ribonuclease P (RNase P) is a ubiquitous endoribonuclease, found in archaea, bacteria and eukarya as well as chloroplasts and mitochondria. Its best characterised activity is the generation of mature 5'-ends of tRNAs by cleaving the 5'-leader elements of precursor-tRNAs. Lineage: Bacteria; Bacillati; Actinomycetota; Actinomycetes; Bifidobacteriales; Bifidobacteriaceae. The record is from RNAcentral.